This is a long non-coding RNA of Cucumis sativus (cucumber), 808 nucleotides long. RefSeq lists it as uncharacterized. The transcript has 3 exons. The record is from RefSeq and is a predicted model, not a curated record. NCBI's taxonomy places the organism in Eukaryota, Viridiplantae, Streptophyta, Magnoliopsida, Cucurbitales, Cucurbitaceae.
CUCCCCUUUUGCCUCCCCUUUCAGCUUUCUACCCUUUCUCCCCUUUCGCCUCCCCUUUCAGAUUUCUUCCCUUUCGCCUCCCAAUCUCCGAACUCCUUGAACUCCCUUCUCCAGACGACGACGAGGUCCAUCAUCGGCACUGCCCCCUCGUGGCCAUCUCCCCACUCCAACGCCGCCUGUACCUCUUCUACUACACGACAAACGGGCUACAACCACUCUUUGGAGUCUACCAUUGAAGCCUCCAAAUCUCGCCUUUCUCAGAUUCGUUCCACCUCUUAUCCUCAUUUCCAAAAGAGAUGUCAUGGCUAGUGCCGAUUUCUUUGCAAUCUUUAAAAUUAUUUUCUUUGUUUUCAAGAAUUUGUGUAGGUUGGUGAUGAAACAUUUUGGUAGCUUACAAUGUGUUUGAUGAAAUGCCUCAAUGAAGCAUUUGGUUGAUUUUUGAUUGAUUUUUGUUCGUUCGAAUUAGGAAAUCAAGGCCAAAGGAGAUGUCAUGGCUAUGGGCUGAAGUUUUGAGAAAAAAAGAAUGAAAAAUGAAAUGUGAGAUCUUAAACUUUGAUGGUGUGUAGGGUCUUUUUGUUUGUCUAUGCAUUUUCCAAGUGAAUUUUAGUACUUUUGAUUUUUCUAUUGAUAUUUUGUUUAUGGUUGCUAUUGAGUUGCUUUGAUUGAAGGAUAGAGGGAAGUGAUUAUUGAUAAUUAUAGGGCUUGAAGAAUCCUUGAGAGAGUGACAAUGCUUGUUGAAUUUUUAUGAAAAUGCAACAUUGAAAAAGAAUUGGUGCAAGGGUUUGAUCAAGAGGCUGCUGCAGUUGUU